GGGUUGUGAGGUUAAGCGACUAAGCGUACACGGUGGAUGCCCUGGCAGUCAGAGGCGAUGAAGGGCGUGCUAAUCUGCGAUAAGCGCCGGUAAGGUGAUAUGAACCGUUAUAACCGGCGAUACCCGAAUGGGGAAACCCAGUGUGAUUCGUCACACUAUCAUUAACUGAAUCCAUAGGUUAAUGAGGCGAACCGGGGGAACUGAAACAUCUAAGUACCCCGAGGAAAAGAAAUCAACCGAGAUUCCCCCAGUAGCGGCGAGCGAACGGGGAGGAGCCCAGAGCCUGAAUCAGCAUGUGUGUUAGUGGAAGCGUCUGGAAAGGCGCGCGAUACAGGGUGACAGCCCCGUACACAAAAGCGCAUGUGCUGUGAGCUCGAUGAGUAGGGCGGGACACGUGGUAUCCUGUCUGAAUAUGGGGGGACCAUCCUCCAAGGCUAAAUACUCCUGACUGACCGAUAGUGAACCAGUACCGUGAGGGAAAGGCGAAAAGAACCCCGGCGAGGGGAGUGAAAAAGAACCUGAAACCGUGUACGUACAAGCAGUGGGAGCNNUGACUGCGUACCUUUUGUAUAAUGGGUCAGCGACUUAUAUUCUGUAGCAAGGUUAACCGAAUAGGGGAGCCGGAGGGAAACCGAGUCUUAAUUGGGCGUUAAGUUGCAGGGUAUAGACCCGAAACCCGGUGAUCUAGCCAUGGGCAGGUUGAAGGUUGGGUAACACUAACUGGAGGACCGAACCGACUAAUGUUGAAAAAUUAGCGGAUGACCUGUGGCUGGGGGUGAAAGGCCAAUCAAACCGGGAGAUAGCUGGUUCUCCCCGAAAGCUAUUUAGGUAGCGCCUCGUGAAUUCAUCUCCGGGGGUAGAGCACUGUUUCGGCUAGGGGGCCAUCCCGGCUUACCAACCCGAUGCAAACUGCGAAUACCGGAGAAUGUUAUCACGGGAGACACACGGCGGGUGCUAACGUCCGUCGUGAAGAGGGAAACAACCCAGACCGCCAGCUAAGGUCCCAAAGUCAUGGUUAAGUGGGAAACGAUGUGGGAAGGCCCAGACAGCCAGGAUGUUGGCUUAGAAGCAGCCAUCAUUUAAAGAAAGCGUAAUAGCUCACUGGUCGAGUCGGCCUGCGCGGAAGAUGUAACGGGGCUAAACCAUGCACCGAAGCUGCGGCAGCGANNGUUGGGUAGGGGAGCGUUCUGUAAGCCUGUGAAGGUGUGUCGUGAGGCAUGCUGGAGGUAUCAGAAGUGCGAAUGCUGACAUAAGUAACGAUAAAGCGGGUGAAAAGCCCGCUCGCCGGAAGACCAAGGGUUCCUGUCCAACGUUAAUCGGGGCAGGGUGAGUCGACCCCUAAGGCGAGGCCGAAAGGCGUAGUCGAUGGGAAACGGGUUAAUAUUCCCGUACUUGGUGUUACUGCGAAGGGGGGACGGAGAAGGCUAUGUUGGCCGGGCGACGGUUGUCCCGGUUUAAGCGUGUAGGUGUGUGUUCCAGGUAAAUCCGGUUCACUUUAACACUGAGGCGUGAUGACGAGGCACUACGGUGCUGAAGUAACAAAUGCCCUGCUUCCAGGAAAAGCCUCUAAGCAUCAGGUAACAUCAAAUCGUACCCCAAACCGACACAGGUGGUCAGGUAGAGAAUACCAAGGCGCUUGAGAGAACUCGGGUGAAGGAACUAGGCAAAAUGGUGCCGUAACUUCGGGAGAAGGCACGCUGACACGUAGGUGAAGUGAUUUACUCAUGGAGCUGAAGUCAGUCGAAGAUACCAGCUGGCUGCAACUGUUUAUUAAAAACACAGCACUGUGCAAACACGAAAGUGGACGUAUACGGUGUGACGCCUGCCCGGUGCCGGAAGGUUAAUUGAUGGGGUCAGCGCAAGCGAAGCUCCUGAUCGAAGCCCCGGUAAACGGCGGCCGUAACUAUAACGGUCCUAAGGUAGCGAAAUUCCUUGUCGGGUAAGUUCCGACCUGCACGAAUGGCGUAAUGAUGGCCAGGCUGUCUCCACCCGAGACUCAGUGAAAUUGAACUCGCUGUGAAGAUGCAGUGUACCCGCGGCAAGACGGAAAGACCCCGUGAACCUUUACUAUAGCUUGACACUGAACAUUGAGCCUUGAUGUGUAGGAUAGGUGGGAGGCUUUGAAGUGUGGACGCCAGUCUGCAUGGAGCCGACCUUGAAAUACCACCCUUUAAUGUUUGAUGUUCUAACGUGGACCCGUGAUCCGGGUUGCGGACAGUGUCUGGUGGGUAGUUUGACUGGGGCGGUCUCCUCCUAAAGAGUAACGGAGGAGCACGAAGGUUGGCUAAUCCUGGUCGGACAUCAGGAGGUUAGUGCAAUGGCAUAAGCCAGCUUGACUGCGAGCGUGACGGCGCGAGCAGGUGCGAAAGCAGGUCAUAGUGAUCCGGUGGUUCUGAAUGGAAGGGCCAUCGCUCAACGGAUAAAAGGUACUCCGGGGAUAACAGGCUGAUACCGCCCAAGAGUUCAUAUCGACGGCGGUGUUUGGCACCUCGAUGUCGGCUCAUCACAUCCUGGGGCUGAAGUAGGUCCCAAGGGUAUGGCUGUUCGCCAUUUAAAGUGGUACGCGAGCUGGGUUUAGAACGUCGUGAGACAGUUCGGUCCCUAUCUGCCGUGGGCGCUGGAGAACUGAGGGGGGCUGCUCCUAGUACGAGAGGACCGGAGUGGACGCAUCACUGGUGUUCGGGUUGUCAUGCCAAUGGCACUGCCCGGUAGCUAAAUGCGGAAGAGAUAAGUGCUGAAAGCAUCUAAGCACGAAACUUGCCCCGAGAUGAGUUCUCCCUGAGACUUAAAGUCUCCUGAAGGAACGUUGAAGACGACGACGUUGAUAGGCCGGGUGUGUAAGCGCAGCGAUGCGUUGAGCUAACCGGUACUAAUGAACCGUGAGGCUUAACCUUACAACGCCGAAG
This 2906-nucleotide ribosomal RNA is filed under the name Salmonella enterica subsp. enterica serovar Dublin. Its description in RNAcentral is "bacterial LSU rRNA". It matches the Rfam family "Bacterial large subunit ribosomal RNA". Lineage: Bacteria; Pseudomonadati; Pseudomonadota; Gammaproteobacteria; Enterobacterales; Enterobacteriaceae. The record is from RNAcentral.